RNAcentral lists this ribosomal RNA (236 nucleotides) under uncultured bacterium. RNAcentral describes it as "partial 16S ribosomal RNA". It matches the Rfam family "Bacterial small subunit ribosomal RNA", at positions 99 to 334 of the family's 1533-position model. The record is from RNAcentral.
CGAACGGGUGAGUAACGCGUGAGGAACCUGCCUCAAAGAGGGGGACAACAGUUGGAAACGACUGCUAAUACCGCAUAAGCCCACGGCUCGGCAUCGAGCAGAGGGAAAGGAGCAAUCCGCUUUGAGGUGGCCUCGCGUCCGAUUAGCUAGUUGGUGAGGUAACGGCCCACCAAGGCGACGAUCGGUAGCCGGACUGAGAGGUUGAACGGCCACAUUGGGACUGAGACACGGCCCAG